Molecule: ribosomal RNA, 287 nt
Filed under: uncultured bacterium
Lineage: Bacteria
Description: partial 16S ribosomal RNA
Rfam family: Bacterial small subunit ribosomal RNA
Source: RNAcentral
GUGGAUUCGAUACCCGAGUAGUCCACGCUGUAAACGAUGGAUACUAGGUGUAGGAGGUAUCGACCCCUUCUGUGCCGGAGUUAACACAAUAAGUAUCCCACCUGGGGAGUACGGCCGCAAGGUUGAAACUCAAAGGAAUUGACGGGGGCCCGCACAAGCAGUGGAGUAUGUGGUUUAAUUCGAAGCAACGCGAAGAACCUUACCAGGGCUUGACAUCCCUCGAAGUUGGUAGAGAUAUCAACGUCCUUCGGGACGAGGAGACAGGUGGUGCACGGCGGUCGUCAGCU